Panthera uncia (snow leopard) is the source of this 1197-nucleotide long non-coding RNA. RefSeq lists it as uncharacterized. The record is from RefSeq and is a predicted model, not a curated record. The transcript is spliced from 2 exons. Lineage: Eukaryota; Metazoa; Chordata; Mammalia; Carnivora; Felidae.
CCGCCGGUAUCACUCCGCCCCGCAGGGAGGUUCCGGCCGCAGGGCGGGGAGGGGCGGAGGGGAAGAGGGGGAGGGGCGGGGAAGCCCGGCUCGUCGACAGCCCGGGCAACCCCAACCGUGCGCUAAUAAAAUCGCCGCAGAGGCGCGGCCGCCUCUCGGGCUUCCUUCCUAGGGGGCGCUCUGGCGCGCGGGCGCAGGCAAACGCGAGGGCGUGGGACUCUUUGCCCUCUUAGGGCGGAAGGAACGCGUCCAGUCUGAGAAAGGGCGGCCGCGACCCGAGGCGCCCGAGUCAAAGGAGCGGCCCCCCUCUCUCCGAGGGGGUUGGGGGUCCGGACGGCCGGGCGGGUCUCGGCGGGAGCCUGGGCCCCUUGAGAGACUGUGGCGGUGCGGCUGCUCGGUUUCGCGGCUUCUCCGCCGCCGUCGAGCUGGUGUCGCGCCCUUGCCCGCCCUGGAGUCGGACUGUGUAGCGGGGCGCCCUGCGAGUUCCAGGCCCAGUGGGCCUGAGUAGCAGACGCGGUCAUGGUUAUCUGGACGCUGCAGUUAUUGUUUCUGAAUCCCGGAACUGGGGCCUGACUCCCUAGAGAGACCGAGGGUGCCGAGAUGAGUUUCCACUGCUGACCAGUGCAGCUGUAUUUUGCUAAAAGGUGUUUUGGGGUGUUUUUUUUUUUUUUUCUAACCUUUCCCCCGUUUUCUCUUCUCACCUUUUUAUUUUUACCCAUUUUUCGUCUUGCUGUUUUUUCAGUUAGAAGUGGGUGCUGUCAGUGGUGAAAUAAAAUUAGGACCGAGGCCUUGUCCAGUUGGUGCUUACUCAGUCCGUGCUGACCCGUGGUCAGGGCUUGGAGCAGAGCUCUAAGGGAGGGCGGAGUCCUCCAGUAGAGGUCAAUGCGGAGUGGAUCAAAGCAGAAAUAAGCCUCUCUGGCCAGCCCAAGACUUCACUGAAAGCAGUAACAUACCUAAAGCAGGAAUGCCUCAAUCAGGAAUUUAGCCAAGAAACAAACAAACAAAAAAAAGCCUGGGAAGUAAAUAAUUUGGCAAGAUCCCUGUCUAAAGGGAAAGUCUCCUGAGCAGGUACAAAACCUAUCUUGUUCUGAUAGUGGAGGUAGUUUGCUCUAUCAAAGUUUUAUGUGAUUCCAUUAAGUCAUACAACUAAACCUAUUAUUCUUUUACUUUUCUCAAUAAGUGCAGGUCUGAAUAUUA